Molecule: ribosomal RNA, 262 nt
Filed under: uncultured bacterium
Lineage: Bacteria
Description: partial 16S ribosomal RNA
Rfam family: Bacterial small subunit ribosomal RNA
Source: RNAcentral
CGGACCGGCGCACGGGUGCGUAACGCGUAUGCAACCUACCAUCAACAGGGGGAUAACACUGAGAAAUUGGUACUAAUACCCCAUAAUAUCUCAUGCGGCAUCGCAUGGGGUUGAAAACUCCGGUGGUUGAUGAUGGGCAUGCGUUGUAUUAGCUGGUUGGUGAGGUAACGGCUCACCAAGGCGACGAUACAUAGGGGGACUGAGAGGUUAACCCCCCACAUUGGUACUGAGACACGGACCAAACUCCUACGGAAGGCAGCAG